RNAcentral lists this long non-coding RNA (484 nucleotides) under Homo sapiens (human). RNAcentral's name for it is "T cell receptor gamma locus antisense RNA 1". The record is from RNAcentral. Lineage: Eukaryota; Metazoa; Chordata; Mammalia; Primates; Hominidae.
CUUUCUUCUGCGCCAUCUUGUGGCAGUUGAGAGCAGGCCCAGGGCAGAAGGGAGGCAGGGGCAUUAAGAGCUCAGGCCUCCAGCUGAGGGACUGCAGAUGUUGGGAAGCCUCUGAUUAGGGCCCGGAACCAACUUCCUUUUCGCAUCUGCAGACUCAUGGAGGCAACCACUCAAGGCCACUCUGAGAAGGGUUGAACGUGCUUUAAAUUAAAAGGACUGAGGAUCAUGUGUGUUGGUGUGUCCUGGACUCUGCUCUAAGGCCCUGUGGCUGCCUGGUGCCCUGGGAAUGGUCCGGUCAUGGGCCUCAGCCCAGGAUGAGCAGCCAACAAUGCAAUCCCACGAAGAGUGUGCGGAAGGGAGAGGUUACUUCUCAAGAUGGAGCUGCCAAAUAGGGACACUUUGGAGAGUCUGGCCUGAGAACUUUUAGUUUCAAGAAUGUAUUGCUUUGGAAAAGACAGAAUAAAAGUCCAAGCACUGCCACUUA